Molecule: ribosomal RNA, 440 nt
Filed under: uncultured bacterium
Lineage: Bacteria
Description: partial 16S ribosomal RNA
Rfam family: Bacterial small subunit ribosomal RNA
Source: RNAcentral
CCUACGGGAGGCAGCAGUGGGGGAUAUUGCACAAUGGGGGGAACCCUGAUGCAGCGACGCCGCGUGGGUGAAGGAGCGUUUCGGCGCGUAAAGCCCUAUCGGCAGGGAAGAAGAUGACGGUACCUGACCCAGAAGCCCCGGCCAACUACGUGCCAGCAGCCGCGGUAAUACGGCGGGGGCAAGCGUGAUCCGGAUUUACGGGGUGUAAGGGGGGCGCAGACGGCAAGGCAAGCCAGAGGUGAAAGUCCGGGGCGCAACCGCGGGACUGCACUUGAAACUGCAUGGCUGGAGUACAGGAGAGGCAGGCGGAAUUCGUAGUGUAGCGGUGAAAUGCGUAGAUAUUAGGAGGAACACCGGUGGCGAAGGCGGCUUGCUGGACUGUGACUGACGCUGAGGCACGAAGGCGAGGGUAGCGAAAGGGAUUAGAUACCCCAGUAGUC